GAAAAGACCAGAUGUUUCCUUUCUAAGUGACAAAGGGCUUGAGAAUAAAAGAAUCUCACUCUGUAGUCACCCAGGCUGGAAUGCAGUGGUGCGAUCUUGGCUCACUGCAACCUCCACCUCCCAGAUGCAAGCGAUUCUUGUGCCUCAGCCUCCCGAGUAGCUGGGAUUAAAGGCAUGCGCCACCACGCCCAGGAGACAGCUUCCCAAGGCUGGAAAGAGGGGAGUGCGGAACAUGCCUCCACCAUACCACUGCCCACCUCCUGUGACCUCUGCAGCAAAACCUGAAGCCCCAAAGAGGCAGCUUCUCAAAGUAAAAGUGGAAUGAAGAGUCGGGGUUUCACCAUGUUGCCCGGCCUGGUCUCGAACUCCUGGCCUCAAGUCUCUCUGGCUCAGCCUUCCAAAGUGCCAGGAUAACAGGCGUGAACCACGACACCCAGCUUGCUUUGUGUACUUCUAGGGGCUCAGGUGAACCACAUGAGUUCCUGGAUGUGCUUCCAUGUUUCACAGUGAAUUCAUGUUUUUGGUCCAAUCAUGACCAUUUAGACUGUUUAAGAAGGCUGUGUACCAGCUUUAAUAUUGUAUUUUAUGAUAUUAGUGAUCCCUGAAUUUUAUUUGAAAAAAUAUUAUUUUACU
This 633-nucleotide long non-coding RNA is filed under the name Homo sapiens (human). Its description in RNAcentral is "long non-coding RNA NONHSAT155346.1". The record is from RNAcentral. Lineage: Eukaryota; Metazoa; Chordata; Mammalia; Primates; Hominidae.